CCUACGGGAGGCAGCAGUAGGGAAUCUUGCUCAAUGGGGGAAACCCUGACGCAGCAACGCCGCGUGGAGGAUGAAGGUUUUCGGAUUGUAAACUCCUUUUGUUAGAGAAGAUAAUGACGGUAUCUAACGAAUAAGCACCGGCUAACUCUGUUCCCACAGCCGCGGUAAUACGGAGGGUGCAGGCGUUACUCGGAAUCACUGGGCGUAAAGAGCGCGUAGGCGGGUUAGCAAGUCAGAUGUUAAAUCCUAUGGCUUAACCAUAGAACUGCAUUUGAAACUGUUAUUCUAGAGUAUGGGAGAGGUAAGUGGAAUUCUUGGUGUAGGGGUAAAAUCCGUAGAGAUCAAGAGGAAUACUCAUGGCGAAGGCGACCUGCUAGAACAUAACUGACGCUGAGGCGCGAAAGCGUGGGGAGCAAACAGGAUUAGAUACCCGUGUAGUC
Molecule: ribosomal RNA, 440 nt
Filed under: uncultured bacterium
Lineage: Bacteria
Description: partial 16S ribosomal RNA
Rfam family: Bacterial small subunit ribosomal RNA
Source: RNAcentral